GCUAGUAAUGGCAGGUCAGCAUACUGCCGUGAAUACGUUCCCGGGCCCUUGUACACACCGCCCGUCACACCAUGAGAGUUGGAGAUACCCGAAGCCUAUGAGCUAACUUUUAGAGGCAGUAGUCGAAGGUAGAAUCAAUGAUUGGGGUGAAGUCGUAACAAGGUAUC
This 167-nucleotide ribosomal RNA is filed under the name uncultured bacterium. Its description in RNAcentral is "partial 16S ribosomal RNA". It matches the Rfam family "Bacterial small subunit ribosomal RNA", at positions 1334 to 1500 of the family's 1533-position model. The record is from RNAcentral.